GAUGAACGCUGGCGGCGUGCCUAAUACAUGCAAGUCGAGCGAACAGACGAGGAGCUUGCUCCUCUGACGUUAGCGGCGGACGGGUGAGUAACACGUGGAUAACCUACCUAUAAGACUGGGAUAACUUCGGGAAACCGGAGCUAAUACCGGAUAAUAUAUUGAACCGCAUGGUUCAAUAGUGAAAGACGGUUUUGCUGUCACUUAUAGAUGGAUCCGCGCCGCAUUAGUUAGUUGGUAAGGUAACGGCUUACCAAGGCAACGAUGCGUAGCCGACCUGAGAGGGUGGUCGGCCACACUGGAACUGAGACACAGUCCAGACUCCUACGGGAGGCAGCAGUAGGGAAUCUUCCGCAAUGGGCGAAAGCUUGACGGAGCAACGCCGCGUGAGUGAUGAAGGUCUUCGGAUCGUAAAACUCUGUUAUUAGGGAAGAACAAAUGUGUAAGUAACUAUGCACGUCUUGACGGUACCUAAUCAAAAAGCCACGGCUAACUACGUG
Molecule: ribosomal RNA, 497 nt
Filed under: uncultured bacterium
Lineage: Bacteria
Description: partial 16S ribosomal RNA
Rfam family: Bacterial small subunit ribosomal RNA
Source: RNAcentral